UACGUAGGGUGCGAGCGUUGUCCGGAAUUACUGGGCGUAAAGAGCUCGUAGGUGGUUUGUCGCGUUGUUCGUGAAAUCUCACGGCUUAACUGUGAGCGUGCGGGCGAUACGGGCAGACUGGAGUACUGCAGGGGAGACUGGAAUUCCUGGUGUAGCGGUGGAAUGCGCAGAUAUCAGGAGGAACACCGGUGGCGAAGGCGGGUCUCUGGGCAGUAACUGACGCUGAGGAGCGAAGGCCAGGGGAGCAAACGGG
This 253-nucleotide ribosomal RNA is filed under the name uncultured bacterium. RNAcentral describes it as "partial 16S ribosomal RNA". It matches the Rfam family "Bacterial small subunit ribosomal RNA", at positions 524 to 776 of the family's 1533-position model. The record is from RNAcentral.